GUGGGCGGUGGGGGAGGCACCCCGCUCCGCCGGGCUGCGGCCCCACCCGGCACCGGCACCGACGCCGGGCGCCUACG
Molecule: transfer RNA, 77 nt
Filed under: Streptomyces purpurascens
Lineage: Bacteria; Bacillati; Actinomycetota; Actinomycetes; Kitasatosporales; Streptomycetaceae
Description: tRNA-Arg(gcg)
Source: RNAcentral